UCGUUUUGCAAGAAGUGAAUUUUGAAUAGAGAUGCUGAAGGUGCUGAUGAUGCUUCCUCUCUAGAAAAACGAAGCGACAUUAUGUCUGGUGGUGUAUCUGGAGUUGCAGGUGAUGGAGACCCUGGAUAUGUUCUAUCUUCAAGAAGAUAUGCUAUACACAUAGCAAGACAUCACUCUCAUGAUCAUUCCGGCGGACACCACGGAAAGUAACAUGGAACAUGAUGCUUCAGGUAAAGCGAAGUCCCCAGCUUUUUGAAAUAUAAUUGAGUCAUUUGAAAAUCUUUACCAGGAUAUUUUAACAUCAACGGACUGAAACCUGUAGCCAAUAUAUGUUGAAAUAAAAUAUGAAAGCACAUCAAA
This is a long non-coding RNA of Octopus sinensis (East Asian common octopus), 360 nucleotides long. RefSeq lists it as uncharacterized. NCBI's taxonomy places the organism in Eukaryota, Metazoa, Mollusca, Cephalopoda, Octopoda, Octopodidae. The record is from RefSeq and is a predicted model, not a curated record. The transcript has 2 exons.